This 458-nucleotide ribosomal RNA is filed under the name uncultured bacterium. Its description in RNAcentral is "bacterial SSU rRNA". It matches the Rfam family "Bacterial small subunit ribosomal RNA", at positions 340 to 789 of the family's 1533-position model. The record is from RNAcentral.
UACGGAAGGCAGCAGUGGGGAAUAUUGCACAAUGGGCGAAAGCCUGAUGCAGCUAUGCCGCGUGUAUGAAGAAGGCCUUAGGGUUGUAAAGUACUUUCAUCGGGGAGGAAAAACAAAACUAAUAAUUUUAUUUCUUGACGUUACCCGAAAAAGAAGCACCGGCUAACUCCGUGCCAGCAGCCGCGGUAAUACGGAGGGUGCUAGCGUUAAUCAGAAUUACUGGGCGUAAAGAGCACGUAGGUGGUUUUUUUAAGUCAGAUGUGAAAUCCCUGGGCUUAACCUAGGAACUGCAUUUUGAAACUGAAAUACUAGAGUAUCGUAGAGGGAGGUAGAAUUCUAGGUGUAGCGGUGAAAUGCGUAGAUAUCUGGAGGAAUACCUGUGGCGAAAGCGGCCUCCUAAACGAAUACUGACACUGAGGUGCGAAAGCGUGGGGAGCAAACAGGGAUUAGAUACCCGU